Molecule: ribosomal RNA, 468 nt
Filed under: uncultured bacterium
Lineage: Bacteria
Description: partial 16S ribosomal RNA
Rfam family: Bacterial small subunit ribosomal RNA
Source: RNAcentral
GACGAACGCUGGCGGCGUGCUUAACACAUGCAAGUCGAACGGAAAGUCCCUGCUUUUGGGGGGUGCUCGAGUUGCGAACGGGUGAGUAACACGUGAGUAACCUGCCCUUGACUGUGGGAUAACUUCAGGAAACUUGGUCUAAUACCGGAUAGGAGCUCCUGCUGCAUGGUGGGGGUUGGAUAGUUUCGGCGGUUGGGGAUGGACUCGCGUCUUAUCAGCUUGUUGGUGUGGUAGUGGCUUACCAAGGCUUUGACGGGUGGCCGGCCUGAGAGGGUGACCGGACACACCGGGACUGAGAUACGGCACAGACUACUACGGGAGGCAGCAGAGGGGAAUAUUGCACAAUGGGCGGAAGCCUGAUGCAGCCAAGCAGCGUGCGGGAUGACGGCAAUCGGGUUGUAAUCCGCUUUCGCCUGUGACGAAGCGUGAGUGACGGUAAUGGGUAAAGAAGCACCGGCUAACUACGUG